Phascolarctos cinereus (koala) is the source of this 545-nucleotide non-coding RNA. NCBI's taxonomy places the organism in Eukaryota, Metazoa, Chordata, Mammalia, Diprotodontia, Phascolarctidae. The record is from RefSeq and is a predicted model, not a curated record.
UCUUCCUGGCUCCAAGGCUACCAUUAUACCACACUUCUUAUGAGGAAACACAAAUAUUAUGUGACCACUGCCCGUUGGGAACUUACUCUCUAGGAAAAAAUUGACAAAUAACUACAUAGAAAAAUGAUAGAGUGGCUAGGAUUGGCAGAGGUCUGAGAUCUCCACUGGGACUUCAAAACCUGAGGCUGGCAGCACCUGUGGGUUCCCAUGAGCUUCACAGAAUACCGAGUGGGUCUGUCUGGCAGAUAGAAGUCUGAAUAUGCAAAAGCCUAUAUGCUGUAGACCCCCAAAUCAGUCAAUGAAUAUCUGGGGAAAGCAUUGACUGAGUUAUGACCUCGUGAGUGUCAAAAGAUAAGAAGAGACAUCAGAGGUUCCCUCAGCAAGUGGAAUCAAUGGCAAAUGCCAGUAGAACCAAGACCAGAAGUAGUCAAAUCCAGCGAGAGUCAGUAUCAGCAGCCGAGUGACCUGCUUGACUUAGCCAAGCAAUGGAUCGACUCAAUUGUCAAGAGCCUCAUCAUGCAAAGAACCAGCUCAGUGGAGCAACA